UACGGAGGAUGCGAGCGUUAUCCGGAUUUAUUGGGUUUAAAGGGUGCGUAGGCGGGCUUUUAAGUCAGCGGUAAAAAUUCGGGGCUCAACCCCGUCCGGCCGUUGAAACUGGGGGCCUUGAGUGGGCAAGAAGAAGGCGGAAUGCGUGGUGUAGCGGUGAAAUGCAUAGAUAUCACGCAGAACCCCGAUUGCGAAGGCAGCCUUCCGGCGCCCUACUGACGCUGAGGCACAAAAGUGCGGGGAUCGAACAGG
Molecule: ribosomal RNA, 252 nt
Filed under: uncultured bacterium
Lineage: Bacteria
Description: partial 16S ribosomal RNA
Rfam family: Bacterial small subunit ribosomal RNA
Source: RNAcentral